CCGCCGGGCGCGGUGGCGCGUGCCUGUAGUCCCAGCUACUCGGGAGGCUGAGGCUGGAGGAUCGCUUGAGUCCAGGAGUUCUGGGCUGUAGUGCGCUAUGCCGAUCGGGUGUCCGCACUAAGUUCGGCAUCAAUAUGGUGACCUCCCGGGAGCGGGGGACCACCAGGUUGCCUAAGGAGGGGUGAACCGGCCCAGGUCGGAAACGGAGCAGGUCAAAACUCCCGUGCUGAUCAGUAGUGGGAUCGCGCCUGUGAAUAGCCACUGCACUCCAGCCUGGGCAACAUAGCGAGACCCCGUCU
Molecule: long non-coding RNA, 299 nt
Filed under: Homo sapiens (human)
Lineage: Eukaryota; Metazoa; Chordata; Mammalia; Primates; Hominidae
Description: non-protein coding lnc-LRR1-1:3
Rfam family: Metazoan signal recognition particle RNA
About the family: The signal recognition particle (SRP) is a universally conserved ribonucleoprotein. It is involved in the co-translational targeting of proteins to membranes.
Source: RNAcentral